This 377-nucleotide unclassified non-coding RNA is filed under the name uncultured bacterium. RNAcentral describes it as "contains 16S-23S intergenic spacer region". The record is from RNAcentral.
UCCGGUUUGUCACCGGCAGUUCUCUGUGAGUGCCCGGCCGAACCGCUGGCAACUAUCGAUAAGGGUUGCGCUCGUUGCGGGACUUAACCCAACAUCUCACGACACGAGCUGACGACAGCCAUGCACCACCUGUGCACAGGCCCCGAAGGGCUGCCGUAUUUCUACGACAUUCCUGCGCAUGUCAAGCCUUGGUAAGGUUCUUCGCGUUGCGUCGAAUUAAACCACAUACUCCACCGCUUGUGCGGGCCCCCGUCAAUUCCUUUGAGUUUCAGUCUUGCAACCGUACUCCCCAGGCGGCGAACUUAACGCGUUAGCUUCGACACUGAGAGCCUGAUUGCUCCCAACGUCCAGUUCGCAUCGUUUAGGGCGUGGACUAC